Molecule: ribosomal RNA, 428 nt
Filed under: uncultured bacterium
Lineage: Bacteria
Description: bacterial SSU rRNA
Rfam family: Bacterial small subunit ribosomal RNA
Source: RNAcentral
AACGAACGCUGGCGGCAUGCCUAACACAUGCAAGUCGCACGAGAAUUUGGAGCUUGCUCCAUUAGUAAAGUGGCGAACGGGUGAGUAAUACCUAGGUAACCUACCCUAAGGCGGGGGACAACCUUCCGAAAGGAGGGCUAAUACCCCAUAAGACCACGGGUUCUUCGGAUCCUGUGAUAAAAGAUGACCUCUACUUGUAAGUUAUCUCCUUUGGAUGGGCCUGGGCACCAUUAGCUUGUUGGUAGGGUAACGGCCUACCAAGGCUCCGAUGGUUAGCUGGUCUGAGAGGAUGGCCAGCCACACUGGAACUGAAACACGGUCCAGACUCCUACGGGAGGCAGCAGUGGGGAAUAUUGCGCAAUGGGGGAAACCCUGACGCAGCAAUGCCGCGUGAGUGAUGAAGGCCUUCGGGUCGUAAAGCUCUGUCA